GGGAACCACCUUUGUGGACCUCGAAAGGUGCCUAACACCUUCCUUUUGAGGUAAUUUGAACCCUUACUCGAAUCUCUUGUGAACUAAGACUAAAUAACUCCAGAAUUUUUGCUAAUUUACAACAUGCAUAACUAUUUUUACAUGAUAAAUUAACGAUUAUCAUUCCCUCACAUUUACCUAACUUUGACAUGCCUAUUAAUAAGAUUACAACAUCUUGUUUCGAAGUAUGUACCAAUUCUCUUUUGCCAUAUUAACAGUUGUCACUUAGACAUCAUGCCUAUAGGUUAAUGACUCCUAAAUGAGCAAUUAUUUGUCUUGGCAUGCUAAUCACAUUAAUCUAUUAAUUUACCAAGUGGCCUAUUUGAGAUUAUUACUUGCUAUUUGUUGUCCAACGUGUAUUAUUUGAUGCGUUUUGAGUCAAACUAGGAAACCUAGCUUUGUUUGUCUAGGUCACAAAUCCAAAAUAGCAUGGGCGGACCGACGUGCAAUUUUUGGGUGUUCGAGCACCCACUAAACUCGACGUAGAAAAGGUAUAAUUAUAUAAGAAACAAUGAAAAAUGGUAAAAUAUAUACAAAAGCACCCAGAGAAUAAAAGCAUGGUUGCGUGCUCUGGAUUUAGACAUAACUUUCAUGUCUUUCAUCCUGGGAUUGAAUCCUUGUAGCUGCAUUGUUUAGUAAAAAAUUUUUGAGCACCCACAACCUAAAAGAGCUAGGUCCGCCACUGCAAAAUAGCAAAAUGCAAUGCCUUUUGGACGAUUGAUUAGGACGAUAGGCAUUUUAAAGACGUUAGUUUUAUCCUUUUUUAGUACGCCUUUAGGUUAACAACCAGCCUAGGUGGGGUGGAUAGACAUUCAGAAGUAAUGAUACCCAAACAUAUAUUGACGGUACGAUAUUUGACAUUGUCGCUUAUCUAGAAUCCGGCUGCUGACUAAUGGGUCAGAUAAUAACUAACAAGUUGGGUAUCGAUCUGAAUAAAACCAAAAUAAUUUCUUUACUUGAUCCUAACGAAUUUUGUUCUUCCAUUUACUUUACAUGUUUAUUCAUUUGGGGUAGUUUAGGCUCUUUAAUUUAAUAAAAAUAUUUGUUAUAAAGCGUGUUAUUUCUCUUUUUCGCUUAACUUUCUUACAUUAUUUCAUGUCUUGUUUUUAUCACUUAGUAAUUAGAAAUAAUUAAAUAACAUAACUUGUUUAUUAUUUUACCAUUUAAUAAUAUUAAGUUAAUAAAUAAGUGACCUUUAUUUUAUGAUAUAGAAUUCCCAUGUAAAGUAUGAAUUCGGCUGGGAACCACCUUUGUGGACCUCGAAAGGUGCCUAACACCUUCCUUUUGAGGUAAUUUGAACCCUUACUCGAAUCUCUUGUGAACUAAGACUAAAUAACAAAAAAUAAGUUCGUAGCUAGCCUAGAAUGAUGUCCUAACGCACCUUAAUACGUUAGGUGGCGACUCUUCACACUCUUAAUCAAUCCCAAAAAGAGUUUGUCACAUCAAAUCCUCUUUUCGUGAGAAAAAUAGGGCGCGGCAACUAUCAAGUUCUACAAGUUGUCAUUGGAGCGAUUAAUUACCACUGCAACGGCUGCAACUAAUUACUGAUACAAUGGUCCACUGCGGUGGUUAAAGUUUUACUGCGCUGGUUCGUGCCUUAAAAUAGAGGUCCACUGGUGUGAUACCUAUGACUUUUGUAGUGGUUACUUUUUUUGUUGCAGCGGUCAAGGAAAGAAACACGAGACCUUUUCUCUAUUUUUCUCGAUUUUGUUAAAUCUACAACACACACCACGAACUAUAACAUUGUGAACACCCCUUGGUAAACUCUAUAAUCAAAGUCUACAACUUUGUUUUAUGUGCCAAAAUAGCCACGACUUUCUCAACCCAUUGUCCAUCUAUCUAUCAUAAACAUCACUAGCAACAGUCACCUUACUACCAGAUUUUGUUUGUUUUACACUCUUUAAAAUCGUCCAAUUCUAGAAAAGCCCUGAAUUUCUCAAAAACCAGCUAAGGAAAGUUUAAAUGAAAAUUUUACCUCCACUUUUAUUGCAACAACAAUUUGAGUCAUAA
Molecule: long non-coding RNA, 2049 nt
Filed under: Capsicum annuum
Lineage: Eukaryota; Viridiplantae; Streptophyta; Magnoliopsida; Solanales; Solanaceae
Description: long non-coding RNA (CANN_LNC005237)
Source: RNAcentral